Molecule: non-coding RNA, 388 nt
Organism: Maylandia zebra (zebra mbuna)
Lineage: Eukaryota; Metazoa; Chordata; Actinopteri; Cichliformes; Cichlidae
Source: RefSeq, a predicted model, not a curated record
GCUAGGGAUGGGAUCCAGGUGUUGCCAGGUGAAUAAGUUUGAGUUACUGCCGGUUAAGAAGCGUCUCAGCGCACUCAGCGUCAGCACAGCCUAGAAGCCUGCAGAUGUGCACGGGUUGGUUAAAGAUGCAGUGACGAAAAAUGGACAGAAGAAGCACGAAGGUGAAGAAGAAGAUGGUUUACACCACUUGGGAUUAAGUGUUGUGCUUUUCUAUUACGCAGUUUCAGAGUCUUCAAUGAAACAACAGCGCAAUGUAACAAUAUAAAAACCUGCAGAGCUGAAAAAUCAAACUGCAGUUCCUCGAGUGGCCACUCGAAGCUCGCUCCCAGAGUGAGACACUCAUGUUAAAAUGCCCAACUUUACAUCAGAAAUAAACAUGUUUACAGCC